GGAAUAUUGCACAAUGGGGGGAACCCUGAUGCAGCAACGCCGCGUGAAGGAUGAAGGUCUUCGGAUUGUAAACUUCUUUUCUGAGGGAAGAAGGGUGGGGCGACUCAUCUUGACGGUACCUUAGGAAUAAGACACGGCUAACUACGUGCCAGCAGCCGCGGUGAUACGUAGGUGUCGAGCGUUAUCCGGAAUUACUGGGCGUAAAGGGCGCGCAGGCGGCAUGACAAGUUUGACGUGAAAUCUCUCGGCUUAACUGGGAGGGGACGUUGGAGACUGUCAAGCUUGAGGUAGUGAGAGGGAGGCGGAAUUCCCGGUGUAGUGGUGGAAUGCGUAGAUAUCGGGAAGAACACCAGUGGCGAAAGCGGCCUUCUGGCACUAAUCUGACGCUGAGGUGCGAAAGCGUGGGUAGCGAAC
RNAcentral lists this ribosomal RNA (414 nucleotides) under uncultured bacterium. RNAcentral's name for it is "bacterial SSU rRNA". It matches the Rfam family "Bacterial small subunit ribosomal RNA", at positions 358 to 773 of the family's 1533-position model. The record is from RNAcentral.